This is a long non-coding RNA of Poecile atricapillus (Black-capped chickadee), 1693 nucleotides long. RefSeq lists it as uncharacterized. The record is from RefSeq and is a predicted model, not a curated record. NCBI's taxonomy places the organism in Eukaryota, Metazoa, Chordata, Aves, Passeriformes, Paridae. The transcript is spliced from 3 exons.
GAAUCCAGGGAAUUCAUGGAUGGAACCCAUGGAUGGAACCCAUUGAUGGAAUCUAUGGAUGGAUGGAAUCCAUGGGUGGAUGGAUGGAAUUCAUGGAUGGAAUUCAUGGAUGAGUGGAAUUCAUGGAUGGAAUCUAUGGAUGGAUGGAUGGAGAAAUUGGGAAGGGUGGGAUCAAAUCACUCGGGAAGGGCUCAGCCCGUCAGGGAUCUCUGGGAAUUUGAGGGUGUUGAGGGUCUCCAGGUUCUUGAGGGUCUCCAGAUGUUGAGGGUCUCCAGCUGUUGAGGGUCUCCAGAUGUUGAGGGUCUCCAGAUGUUGAGGGUCUCCAGGUGUUGAGGAUCUCCAGAUGUUGAGGGUCUCCAGAUGUUGAGGGUCUCCAGGUUUUGGGGCUCUUGAGUAAUGGAGGAUCUCGAGGAUCUCCAGUUUUCCAGGAUAUUCGGGUUUUGGGCAUCUCAGGACCUCUGAGAUCUCGAGGAUCUCCAGGUGUUGAGGAUCUCCAGCUUUUGGGCAUCUCCAGCUUUUGGGGAUCUCCACCUUUUGGGGAUCUCCACCUUUUGGGGACCUCCACCUUUUGGGGAUCUCCACCUUUUGGGGAUCCUCAGCUCUGAAAGCUCUGGAGGAUCUCGAGGAUCUCCAGUUCCCUACGACCUCGAGGGUCUCGGGUUUUAUUGAGGACAUCGAGGAUCUCCAGGCCUCGAGGAUUUUGAGGUGUUCAGGAUCUCAGGAGUGUCCCAGGGCAGGGCAGGGUGCUCAGGAUCCCUCGAGGACAUCCCAGGGCUCUUUGAGGUCCUUUUGGGAUCUCCUGGGGACAUCCCAGUGCCACAGGAGCCGCUUGAAGUCCCUUGGGGACAUCCCGGGGUCCCUUGGGACCACCCUUGGCUUCUUUGGGGCCAUCUCAGGAUCCCUUGGGGACAUCUUGGGCUUCUUCUGGAGUCCAUCCCAGGGUUCUUCUGGAGAUCAUCCCAGGGUUCUUCUGGAGAUCAUCCCAGGGAUCUUCUGGAGGCCAUCCCAGGGUUCUUCUGGAGGCCAUCCCAGGGUUCUUCUGGAGGCCAUCCCAGGGUUCUUCUGGAGAUCAUCCCGGUGUUCUUCUGGAGUCAUCUUGGGCUUCUUCUGGAGGCCAUCCCGGGGUUCUUCUGGAGGCCAUCCCAGGCUUCUUCUGGAGGCCAUCCCGGGGUUCUUCUGGAGGCCAUCCCAGGGUUCUUCUGGAGGCCAUCCCAGGGUUCCUUUGGAGACCAUCCCAGGGUUCUUCUGGAGGCCAUCCCAGGGUUUUUCUGGAGACCAUCCUGGGCUUCUUUUGGAGACCAUCUUGGGCUUCUUUGGGGCCAUCCUGAGGUUCUUUUGGAGACCAUCUUGGGGUUCUUCUGGAGUCCAUCCCAGGGUUCUUCUUGAGACCAUCUCAGGGUUCCUUUGGAGACCCUCUCAGGGUUGUUUUGGAGACCACCCCAGGCUUCUUCUGGAGAUCAUCUUUGGGGCCAUCUCAGGGUUCCUUUGGAGACCAUCUCAGGGUUCUUCUGGACACCAUCUCAGGGCUCUUUUGGAGACCAUCAUGAGGUUCCUCUGGAUGGUUCUUUUGGAGUCCAUCUUGGGGUUCUUUUGGAGUCCAUCCCGGGGUUUUUCUGGAGUUCCCCCCGGGGUUUUUGGGGCCGUGGCGGGCAGGAGGCCGCGGUGACGACGCUGACUGACCGGUGCCCACCUG